RNAcentral lists this transfer RNA (87 nucleotides) under Balneolaceae bacterium. RNAcentral's name for it is "tRNA-Leu". It matches the Rfam family "tRNA". Rfam says of the family: Transfer RNA (tRNA) molecules are approximately 80 nucleotides in length. Their secondary structure includes four short double-helical elements and three loops (D, anti-codon, and T loops). Lineage: Bacteria; Pseudomonadati; Balneolota; Balneolia; Balneolales; Balneolaceae. The record is from RNAcentral.
GCGAGAGUGGUGAAAUUGGUAGACACGCCAGAUUUAGGAUCUGGUGCCCGAAACGGCUUGGGGGUUCGAGUCCCCCCUCUCGCACUA